Molecule: ribosomal RNA, 253 nt
Filed under: uncultured bacterium
Lineage: Bacteria
Description: partial 16S ribosomal RNA
Rfam family: Bacterial small subunit ribosomal RNA
Source: RNAcentral
UACGGGGGGGGCAAGCGUUGUUCGGAAUUACUGGGCGUAAAGGGCUCGUAGGCGGCCAACUAAGUCAGACGUGAAAUCCCUCGGCUUAACCGGGGAACUGCGUCUGAUACUGGAUGGCUUGAGUGUGGGAGAGGGAUGCGGAAUUCCAGGUGUAGCGGUGAAAUGCGUAGAUAUCGAGAGGAACACCAGUGGCGAAGGCGAGUCCCUGGACAACACCUGACACUGAGGCACGAAAGCUAGGGGAGCAAACAGG